UCCUACCUUUAUUUAGUCAAUCACUAGUACAGACAGUGCCGGGUUCUAAGAGGGUCCAAUAACCAAGAGUCAGAUCAACUCUUCUCUAGUCAUCGCUCCAACAGCAAAAAGCGCACCUUUAUCCGACCCUUCAGGCCCUUUUAUAAAGUUUUUUAUUCAGGCCCUUUAUGAGGGAGGUACACAUUUUCACGUAACCGUACAAUGAUUGGUUUACCAUAAUAUUAUCUUUCAGUUCCCUCCCUUGGUGUAUGAAGGAUAUACAUAUUAUACAACAUUGUUCAAUGAUUGGUUUGUCACUAUCACAUGACCUCAGACUUUACCACCCCUCCCAUAGUCCUUAGUUGGGGUCUAUGUAGGCCCUCCCCAUUUCUUCACAGAGCUGUUGAAAGUUUUCUGUUGUACUGGGGUCGUUCGGUUCAUGCACAAACACCAAGGGGGAGGUGGGUAGGUGUAUGUCAUCCGUCUCAGGUCCUGGUGUAGAUUGUUGAUCCGUUUCCGUUGUCGGCUGUUGCUCCCGAAACCCUCGGCUCACCUCCUGUACUCUGCCCUUUUUCUCAACAAAACCCCAUAUUUUUAUUACUUCCUGUUUGAGGCAGCCUGGCACCCUGUUUUGGGUUUAUAUUCAAACAUGCUAGUCUAAAAAAUGUAUUCUGUGGGGAAAUACAUAAAUUACAUAAAUACACAACUAACAUAUAGUGAUGUAAUUGCUCUGUGAUGUAGUACAAUGUUCUGUUACGAUUGUAAUUGCUUUUAAAGAUUCAGUCAGAAACGUUUGCGAAUAACCAACCUGGUCUCAGAAUGAUGACGUAGACAAUUUUACAUAAAUGUUAGGCAGGGGAUUUCGUGAGAUAUAUUACGUGCAGUAAAAAAAAAACAGUCAACAUGGUUAAAAGCGGUGACCUUCCACAUCUUACCCAGGCACGCUACCCACUGGUCCACUGGGGAACCAGUAACUAGUCCUGGCGAGUGGUGUUGUCACAACAUAAGAUUGAAGUGAUUUUCUUUGUAAUCCUAACCCAAACCAUAACCCUAACAUUAACCCCAGUGCUGUGAUAGCUAACCUUAACCCAAACCCUAACCUGAACCCCAGAGCUGUGAGACGUAACCUUAAACUAACCUUUUUUGUUUCCUAACCGUAGCCCAAACCUUAACACUAACCUUAACCCUGGUGCUGUGAGAUCUAACCUUAACCCUAACCCCAACGCUGUGAUGCCUAAGGUCAAUGUAACGUUGACAAUAAAAUGUCUUUAUAACAUAUACUAGCGACCUUGCUAUUGUUGUUACUCAUCCUAAAACCCCAUGUCUAGUGUGGGUCAGUGGGUAAGGCAACUGCCUUGUAAUCCUAAUGUCACUCCUUCUUGAUCCUGGCUGUGUGCUUAGGGUAACUGUGCUUCUGGAAGGUAAACCUUUGCCCAAGUCUGAGGUCCUGAACACUUUGGAGCAUAUUUCUUUCAAGUAUCUGUCUGUACUUUGCUCCUUACAUCUUUUCUUGGUCAUGACUACUCCAAAAAGCAACCCCACAGCUGCCACAUGAUGAACAGUGUCCAGUUUCCUCCAGACAUGAUGCUUGGCAUUCAGGCCAAAGACCUCAAUCUUAGUGGCAUCAGACCACAGAAUCUAGACCUUCUCAUGGUUUGAGUCCUUUAGGUGCUGUUUAGCAAACCCAAAGCAGGCUAUCAUAUGCAUUUUACUGAUGAGAGGCAUUCAAUAAAUGCUAUAUUGAUGGAGUGCUGCUGAGUUGGUUGUCCGUCUGCUGGAUUAUCCCAUCUCCAGAAAGAAACUGGAGCUCUUUCAGUGAACAAUGGGAUCUUGAUCACCUCCCUAACCAAGACCCUUACCCCCUGGUUACUCAAUUUGGCUGUGCGACCCGCUUUAGAAAGACUGGGUGGUUGCAAACUUGAUGGAGGCCUCUGUGUUGAUGGGGACCUUCCAUGCUUCCAAAAUCUUUUUUGAUACCCUUUCCCAGAUCUGUUUUGACACAAUCCUGUCUCAGCGCUGUACGGACAAUUCCUUUGAAAUAAAUGCUCCAUACCAUACCAUACCAUCUUCUUCCGCUUAUCCGGGGCCGGUUCGCGGGGGCAGCAGUCUAAGCAGAGAUGCCCAGACUUCCCUCUCCCCAGACACUUCCUCCAGCUCUUCCGGGGGGACACCGAGGCGUUCCCAGGCCAGCCGGGAGACAUAGUCCCUCCAGCGUGUCCUAGGUCUUCCCCGAGGUCUCCUCCCGGUGGGACGGGACCGGAACACCUUCCCAGGAAGGCGUUCCGGAGGCAUCCGAAACAGAUGCCCAAGCCACCUCAGCUGACCCCUCUCGAUGUGGAGGAGCAGCGGCUCUACUCUGAGCUCCUCCCGGGUGACCGAGCUUCUCACCCUAUCUCUAAGGGAUCGCCCAGCCACCCUGCGGAGAAAGUUCAUUUCGGCCGCCUGUAUCCGGGAUCUUGUCCUUUCGGUCAUGACCAUAGGUGAGAGUAGGAACGUAGAUUGACCGAGAGCUUCGCCUUGCGGCUCAGCUCUUUCUUCACCACGACAGACUGAUACAUCGACCGCAUUACUGCAGAAGCUGCACCGAUCCGUCUGUCAAUCUCCCGUUCCAUCUUCCCUCACUCAUGAACAAGACCCCUAGAUAUU
Long non-coding RNA from Esox lucius (northern pike), 2625 nucleotides. The record is from Ensembl. NCBI's taxonomy places the organism in Eukaryota, Metazoa, Chordata, Actinopteri, Esociformes, Esocidae.